GUGCCCAGUUUGGCAGCACAUAUACUAACAUUAGAACAAUACAGAGAUUAGCACGACCCCUGCGCAAGAAUGACACACAAAUUCGUGAAGGGUUCCAUAUAUUU
Molecule: small nuclear RNA, 104 nt
Filed under: Prolemur simus (greater bamboo lemur)
Lineage: Eukaryota; Metazoa; Chordata; Mammalia; Primates; Lemuridae
Source: RNAcentral